GAAGAAGGUCUUCGGAUCGUAAAGCUCUGUUGUUGGUGAAGAAGGAUAGAGGCAGUAACUGGUCUUUAUUUGACGGUAAUCAACCAGAAAGUCACGGCUAACUACGUGCCAGCAGCCGCGGUAAUACGUAGGUGGCAAGCGUUGUCCGGAUUUAUUGGGCGUAAAGCGAGCGCAGGCGGAAUGAUAAGUCUGAUGUGAAAGCCCACGGCUCAACCGUGGAACUGCAUCGGAAACUGUCAUUCUUGAGUGCAGAAGAGGAGAGUGGAACUCCAUGUGUAGCGGUGGAAUGCGUAGAUAUAUGGAAGAACACCAGUGGCGAAGGCGGCUCUCUGGUCUGCAACUGACGCUGAGGCUCGAAAGCAUGGGUAGCGAACAGGAUUAGAUACCCUGGUAGUCCAUGCCGUAAACGAUGAGCGCUAGGUGUUGGGGACUUUCCGGUCCUCAGUGCCGCAGCAAACGCAUUAAGCGCUCCGCCUGGGGAGUACGACCGCAAGGUUGAAACUCAAAGGAAUUGACGGGGGCCCGCACAAGCGGUGGAGCAUGUGGUUUAAUUCGAAGCAACGCGAAGAACCUUACCAGGUCUUGACAUCCUGCGCUACACCUAGAGAUAGGUGGUUCCCUUCGGGGACG
RNAcentral lists this ribosomal RNA (630 nucleotides) under Lactobacillus delbrueckii subsp. lactis. RNAcentral's name for it is "bacterial SSU rRNA". It matches the Rfam family "Bacterial small subunit ribosomal RNA", at positions 407 to 1028 of the family's 1533-position model. Lineage: Bacteria; Bacillati; Bacillota; Bacilli; Lactobacillales; Lactobacillaceae. The record is from RNAcentral.